RNAcentral lists this ribosomal RNA (251 nucleotides) under uncultured prokaryote. RNAcentral describes it as "partial 16S rRNA". It matches the Rfam family "Bacterial small subunit ribosomal RNA", at positions 525 to 775 of the family's 1533-position model. The record is from RNAcentral.
ACGUAGGGGGCGAGCGUUGUCCGGAAUUACUGGGCGUAAAGGGUGCGUAGGCGGCGAUGCAAGUCCAUUGUGAAAAGCCCGGGCUUAACCUGGGAGGUGCAGUGGAAACUGCAUGGCUUGAGUGCAGGAGAGGAAAGUGGAAUUCCUAGUGUAGCGGUGGAAUGCGUAGAGAUUAGGAGGAACACCAAUGGCGAAGGCAGUUUUCUGGACUGUAACUGACGCUGAGGCGCGAAGGUGUGGGGAGCAAACAG